AUGGGUUUAUGGCCUCAAUAGCAAGAAGUUUGCAGUGGCAGCGGCAGGGUGGCUCAGCUGCUCCGUGAGAUUGCGAAGGCCUCAGUUCCCUCUUCUCAGGAGCCUCCCCACCUGUCUGCCAAUCAGACUUCACCGUGUGCCUUACUGGUCCAAGCUGGCCUCCAUAGCUAUACCUAGUUGCAAGGGAACGUGUGAAAUCUCGUAUCUGGUAUAGGGAACGGCAUUGUCAAGACUAGCUCAGCCAAGUCGUGAUUCAUUGCUUGGGGCUGGGGCGGUCACCUAAAACUUCAGUGUUUAAGCUCUCAGCAACACACAAGGUCUGAAGACAAAACAAAAUGGCACAGUAUCAAGAAGUAUAAAACCAGCUGAUGGGUAUAGAGGCAUUUGUUGAGAGUGUGUCCUCUUCUCUAAAUGCAUGAAAUAUCUCCCAAUUAAAAACUAUAAAAAAGUUAUAAUCUCAAGUUGACAAUGAAGAGUGGGUCUUCUUCAUUUACUGGGUAACCACAUGCGCAGUAAGUGCUGGCUGUAUGCUGGCACGCCUCUGGACACCACGAGCAAGACCCACAGAGUCACUGCCCUUGUGGAGACGCCGUGCUUGUCAGGACAGACCAGAGUCAGACACGGCCAUCGCAGCAAGUGUCACCAGCUCUAAAGAAGUAAAGAGAGGAAUGUAACAGUGACCCAGAAGAUGCUGUUCCUCAUAAGGCAGACUGAGACCUGAGGAGUAAAAAGUCGUUCAAAGAGUAAAGAGAAGAGGAGUCUAUGAAGAGCUAUCAGAAAAUGCACAGGCCCUGAAGCCUGACAACACUCUGGGAACCGAGACGUCACCGUUGCUGAGGCUCGGUGAGCAGGCGGGGUGAGACUGGGUCCGAAAGGCGUGGGUGAGGCUCUGUGGUCUCGGCGAGUAGCGUAGAUUGUAUUUGAAGUGCACAGAGCAGCCAAGGGAUGGAGGGCUGAAGGAGAGGGUUCAAGAGGACAAGAUGACCCAGUGCAACCUUAUAUUAUCAUCAGUUUCUAACAGCACUCUGAUUGCUAAAUGG
This 1040-nucleotide long non-coding RNA is filed under the name Equus caballus (horse). RNAcentral describes it as "lncRNA (ENSECAG00000047179.1)". The record is from RNAcentral. Lineage: Eukaryota; Metazoa; Chordata; Mammalia; Perissodactyla; Equidae.